GCAGGGAAAGCUCAAUGGUAGAGGAUCUGCUUUACAUGCAGAAGGUCCCAGGUUCAAUCCUUGGCAUUUGCA
This 72-nucleotide transfer RNA is filed under the name Sphaerodactylus townsendi. Its description in RNAcentral is "tRNA-Val". It matches the Rfam family "tRNA". Rfam says of the family: Transfer RNA (tRNA) molecules are approximately 80 nucleotides in length. Their secondary structure includes four short double-helical elements and three loops (D, anti-codon, and T loops). Further hydrogen bonds mediate the characteristic L-shaped molecular structure. tRNAs have two regions of fundamental functional importance: the anti-codon, which is responsible for specific mRNA codon recognition, and the 3' end, to which the tRNAs corresponding amino acid is attached (by aminoacyl-tRNA synthetases). tRNAs cope with the degeneracy of the genetic code in two manners: having more than one tRNA (with a specific anti-codon) for a particular amino acid; and 'wobble' base-pairing, i.e. permitting non-standard base-pairing at the 3rd anti-codon position. Lineage: Eukaryota; Metazoa; Chordata; Lepidosauria; Squamata; Sphaerodactylidae. The record is from RNAcentral.